Molecule: ribosomal RNA, 868 nt
Filed under: Tetradesmus obliquus
Lineage: Eukaryota; Viridiplantae; Chlorophyta; Chlorophyceae; Sphaeropleales; Scenedesmaceae
Description: partial 28S ribosomal RNA
Rfam family: Eukaryotic large subunit ribosomal RNA
Source: RNAcentral
AGCGGAGGAAAAGAAACUAACAAGGAUGCGCUUAGUAACGGCGARCKAACCGCGCMAAAGCCCAWCUUGAAAAUCUCCCUUGGAGAAUUGUAGUCUAUAGAAGUACCCUCUGUAACGGGCKCAGCUCAAGUCUCCWGGAAAGGGGCGUCAGAGAGGGUGAGAACCCCRUAAGCUGUUGCUUSGUUGCCUCMCGAGGUGCUUUCAAAGAGUCSGGUUGCUUGGGAAUGCAGCCCAAAUUUGGUGGUAAAUCCCAUYUAAGGCUAAAUAUUGGCGAGAGACCGAUAGCGAACAAGUWCCGUGAGGGAAAGAUGAAAAGAACUUUGAAAAGAGAGUUAAAAAGUGCUUGAAAUUGUUGAGGGGGAAGCGUUUGAAUGSUAGASUGCGCCUAGGCUUAUGGGUUCUUAACGGAGCYCUGUAMGUGCUAGGURCUGSCCASCAUGGGUUWGGCGAGCGGGAUAAACGCUGGGGKUGAUACCCGGUCUAUGSCGCUUGCUUGACCAAGGCGUGAAGACUGCCCUUGUCCUUCGGRAACUGCAGUCUCARGAUGCUGGCAAAAAGCUUUCAACCGACCCGUCUUGAAACACGGMCCAAGGAGUCUAACAUGUAUGCGAGUUGGUGGGUGGAAAACCCAUGAAGCGUAAGGAAACUGACUGGUGAGAUGGCCUGUGCCUGCAUCAUCGACCGACCAUGCGUUUCUGCAAAAGGUUUGAGUGCGAGCAUACCUGUUGGGACCCGAAAGAUGGUGAACUAUGCCUGAGUAGGGUGAAGCCAGGUGAAAAUCCUGGUGGAGGCUCGUAGCAUGUGCUGACGUGCAAAUCGCUUUUCGGACUUGGGUAUAGGGGCGAAAGACUAAUCGAACCUUCUAGUA